RNAcentral lists this ribosomal RNA (496 nucleotides) under uncultured bacterium. Its description in RNAcentral is "partial 16S ribosomal RNA". It matches the Rfam family "Bacterial small subunit ribosomal RNA", at positions 29 to 507 of the family's 1533-position model. The record is from RNAcentral.
AUGAACGCUGGCGGCGUGCCUAAUACAUGCAAGUCGAGCGAACAGACGAGGAGCUUGCUCCUCUGACGUUAGCGGCGGACGGGUGAGUAACACGUGGAUAACCUACCUAUAAGACUGGGAUAACUUCGGGAAACCGGAGCUAAUACCGGAUAAUAUAUUGAACCGCAUGGUUCAAUAGUGAAAGACGGUUUUGCUGUCACUUAUAGAUGGAUCCGCGCCGCAUUAGCUAGUUGGUAAGGUAACGGCUUACCAAGGCAACGAUGCGUAGCCGACCUGAGAGGGUGAUCGGCCACACUGGAACUGAGACACGGUCCAGACUCCUACGGGAGGCAGCAGUAGGGAAUCUUCCGCAAUGGGCGAAAGCUUGACGGAGCAACGCCGCGUGAGUGAUGAAGGUCUUCGGAUCGUAAAACUCUGUUAUUAGGGAAGAACAAAUGUGUAAGUAACUAUGCACGUCUUGACGGUACCUAAUCAGAAGGCCACGGCUAACUACGUG